AUAACCUUCAAAGCGCAGAUUACGCCUCAAUUCAUCGCUCUGUCGCCUCACAUAAUAUUACCGAUUAUCGUGUAUUACAAUAAUAGUUUUUAUUAUACAUUGUCAAUUUGUUCGCUGUUUCCUGCCAGCUUCGUAUAUAAGGCAUGUGUAAGGUGGUCUUAUCAGGUUGUUCCAACAUGAAGUUCUUUGGUGUCAUUUUGGUCAUCAUGGCUGUAGUUUUCGCUGUUGUGAGCGGCGUAAGACCCAUAGCCUCUGAGCGUGCGGGAUGCAACGGCGGCGGCCCACCCCCAGGAGGCCCGCCCGGGGGCCCACCACCCACCAACAGCACUGGUUAAUGCACCUCCUCUGACGGCCACAACUUUUGUAAACGGAUUUAGCGUGAUCAUGUUCAUUUUUCUGUCCACUAAUAAAUGAUAGCACAAAUCA
This is a long non-coding RNA of Manduca sexta (tobacco hornworm), 426 nucleotides long. RefSeq lists it as uncharacterized. The transcript is spliced from 3 exons. The record is from RefSeq and is a predicted model, not a curated record. NCBI's taxonomy places the organism in Eukaryota, Metazoa, Arthropoda, Insecta, Lepidoptera, Sphingidae.